Molecule: ribosomal RNA, 460 nt
Filed under: uncultured bacterium
Lineage: Bacteria
Description: partial 16S ribosomal RNA
Rfam family: Bacterial small subunit ribosomal RNA
Source: RNAcentral
CCUACGGGGUGCAGCAGUGAGGAAUAUUGGUCAAUGGCCGGAAGGCUGAACCAGCCAUGCCGCGUGAAGGUCAGUGCCCUAUGGGCGUUAAACUUCUUUUGUGCGGGAGCAAUAAUGGUCACGUGUGGCCAGACGAGAGUACCGUACGAAUAAGCAUCGGCUAACUCCGUGCCAGCAGCCGCGGUAAUACGGGGGAUGCAAGCGUUAUCCGGAUUUAUUGGGGUUAAAGGGUGCGUAGGCUGUGAGGUAAGUCAGCGGUGAAAUGCCCCCGCUCAACGGGGUGAAGUGCCAUUGAUACUGCCUUGCUGGAAUGCGGAUGCCGUGGGAGGAAUGUGUGGUGUAGCGGUGAAAUGCAUAGAUAUCACACAGAACACCGAUUGCGAAGGCAUCUCACGAAUCCGCGAUUGACGCUGAUGCACGAAAGCGUGGGUAUCAAACAGGAUUAGAUACCCCAGUAGUC